GGGCGCGGCCGCCCGCGGGAUGGGUGGCGCCGCAGGUGAGCGUGGAGGGGCGCCGGCCGGGCAAGGCAGGGAGCGCCCCCGGGGCUGAGUCCGGCUCUGCCUCUCAUGGGUCCGGGACCCGGGGCUCACCAAACGUGGCUUCAGCUCCUCCUCCGUCAAGUGGAGCUUGGGCUGGAAUUCUAGGGCACCUUGCGAUCUCUUUGCAGAGCAGCCUCUGGCUCCGUGCCACGGGGGCGGGGGGGGUGGUGGUGUGGGGGGACAAGUCCCUUCAUCUCUCUGAGCCCGUUUUCCUCUAUUGCAAAGUGACGAGGUUGAAGCAGAUGAUCUUUAUGGCCUCUUCUAGAGAAGAUGGGAUCAUUACCCCCACAGUGCGCCCCGCGUGCCAGACACGGGGAGCUGGAUGGUUUUGAGCGACAAUCUCAGCUCAGGAUCUGGAGUCAGAGAAACUCGGAUGGGGGAUGGCGCCGGACUUCUGGAGGGACCCAGAACCGGCUGUCUUUCAUCUUCCCGGCAGCCUGCACGUCCACUCUGGAGUCCUGCUCUUCCAGUUUGCUCCCACUCCACUGGCUGCGGGUAAGUGCCCACUGGGCAUCGGGAUUCCCGAGUAGCCAAGUGCCACGCGAAGCUUUGGCAACUCCAGGCCUGGCGUUUGAGAGGAGGUCACCACAGCCGAGUGCCUGCCCCGGAGGCCUACGUCAGCCUGCUUCAGGGGCGUGCCGGUCCUUUACAAUUCACAACGGCCAGAAAGUCUUACAUCAUGACCUUGACUUUUCCACCUGA
Molecule: long non-coding RNA, 780 nt
Filed under: Felis catus (domestic cat)
Lineage: Eukaryota; Metazoa; Chordata; Mammalia; Carnivora; Felidae
Description: lncRNA (ENSFCAG00000051523.1)
Source: RNAcentral